GGGGAUUUAGCUCAGUGGUAGAGCGCUUGCCUAGAAAGUACAAGGCCCUGGGUUCGGUCCCCAGCUCCG
Molecule: non-coding RNA, 69 nt
Organism: Rattus norvegicus (Norway rat)
Lineage: Eukaryota; Metazoa; Chordata; Mammalia; Rodentia; Muridae
Source: Rfam